UACGUAGGCAGCGAGCGUUGUUCGGAGUUACUGGGCGUAAAGCGCGUGUAGGCGGCCCUGUAAGUCGGGUGUGAAAUCCCACGGCUCAACCGUGGAAGUGCACUCGAAACUACAGGGCUAGAGUCCUGGAGAGGAAGGUGGAAUGCUUGGUGUAGAGGUGAAAUUCGUAGAUAUCAAGCGGAACACCGGUGGCGAAGGCGGCCUUCUGGACAGUGACUGACGCUGAGACGCGAAAGCGUGGGGAGCAAACAGG
This 253-nucleotide ribosomal RNA is filed under the name uncultured bacterium. RNAcentral's name for it is "partial 16S ribosomal RNA". It matches the Rfam family "Bacterial small subunit ribosomal RNA", at positions 524 to 776 of the family's 1533-position model. The record is from RNAcentral.